This 90-nucleotide non-coding RNA is filed under the name Entomoneis paludosa. The record is from RNAcentral. Lineage: Eukaryota; Bacillariophyta; Bacillariophyceae; Surirellales; Surirellaceae.
UUUCUGAAGAAGAAGACUUUUCGGGAAAUUUGGAUGAUGAUUUCACGUAUGAUAGUUAUGCGAAUGAUUCGUAUGGAAUUGCUGAAACAC